GGGGUCUGUCCAGAAAAGGCAGGUCAGGAAGCGCUGGCCCAGGGCCUGACGCUGCUGCUUUAGGAGUGCUGGAGCCUCCGGGCCUCAAGGACUUCCAAGAGCUUCACCCGCCCGCGGAGGUGACGGUUUCCGCGUACAGAUCUGCCUCGGGCAGGACGCGGUCUUACCACCGCUGGCAGGCCCUUCCCUCCUCCACCUGCUGGUCCCCGCCUCAGAGCUCUUGGGGACACAGUCCAUGGCCAGUUUAACAGCAGAGUGCCUCGGAGCUUGCGUGAAACGGACGACCCUCUGAGAGAACGGAGGGGGACAGCUGCCAAGCAGCAGGCCGCGGGGCAUGCGAAGGUCCUCCAGGGCACGGUGGCAGGCGACGCCUGCGCCCACCGGGGACGUUCGGCCCACGUUCUCCUGUGCCUAACGCGGUUCCUCUGCUCCCAGCCCCCGAGAGCAGCCGCGUCGGGACACAGCUCCGCUCACCGUGGCCUGUCUCAGCUUCUCCCAGAGACCUUUUCUGAUGAAGGCCCUGGACCCAGGCUCCCAGCCCCCCUGCCAGGGCACCCCUCGCUCCUCUGGGAGGGGCUGCCCGUGGAGCUCCACGGCGGCCAGUGCACAACACUAUGAUCCAUCUGCAUAUCCAGCAGGAGGGAGGAGGCAUCACUGUCACAGGUGCACCAAUGACGCCUAAAAACUAGUCACCCAAGCAGGGGUGUCUUCACACAGUGGCCCUGGCCAGCACUACUGCAUGGGGUCUGGGGCUUGCCCUGCCAUAAGCUGCUUACCUGGGCAUCAGUCCAUCCCCACUCACCUGCCUGGCUCCUUCCCAGGUCCUUCCUAGACAGCUCCAUGCCCCCUCCAGCAGGCUGCAGACCCCCCCCCAUCUGCACCCCCUCUCCAGCAGGCUGCAGACCCCACCCAUGCUGAAUACACUCUGGCCACACAGACCCCCAGGUCCUGUGUUUGACACAGCCUUUGUAGCCUCACAAUCCACACGCCGGGCACGUGAGCAGCAUUAGAGGCCACCCAAGGAAGUGGGUGGGAGCCAGGCGUUUCACUCACCAACAUCCUGCCCACACGCAGUUUCUCCACAUAGAGCGGCAGGUCCCACUUCUCUUCUACACGUAGCCUGUAGCUAUUGCAGGUGGUGCUGGGCUAGGCCUGGAGAGCCUUGAGGGCCUGGCCACCCACCAGGUGGGUCUGGGACAAGCUUCCCAUCAUGCUUUCUAUGUGCAGACACCACAGACUGGUGUGGGGACAGACCCUAGGCUGGGGUACAUGCCUGUGGUCAGGAAGCUGGGUGAGCAUGGACAGGGUUCAGGAAAGGACAUCCCUCCACCAGCAAGGGAGCAUGAAUGACUAUAGAGCAGAGGCCGGGAGGUCGGGGGUGCCUCUUGGCCCGGAUGGGGCUCCCUGAGAAGAGCUAGGACAUAGGCACGGUAGAAAACCAGGAGGUCAGCAGUUUUGGAAACCACUUCUCCGUGGAGCAGGAAACAAAUAUUGUUAGUUUUCAGCAGAGGUCCCAGGCUUUCAGGGGCCUCCAAAUAAGGCACGACUUCCAGGAAGCAAAGCUGAGCUUCAGGCUGGACAUAAGACACAAGGGCAGUGACAAUGUCUAAAUGGAUGGCAUUAGUAUCCAUGAAGGCACGAGAGGAGGUCUGAAGAAUCCCUGCCUAAAACACCAGAGACUAACAGAUUGCAUGGAUUCCUUAAAGAGCUGACAUCAGAGCUGGAGAAUAAGCACUCGGGAAAAGGCUGCUGGAUGAAUGCAUGCCCCAGACGUCUGCAAAGACCUUUGCUAAGAUAAUAAAGGGUUUACCAAUAUCACUUGGGAUCACAAAGUCUAAAGUACUAAAAUGUCCUACAAUAUAGGCUAAAAGUGUGGCAUUUAUAAAUCUUUUAAGAUAUCUUUUACUUUUGGAACUACUGAAAUUUUAUGAAACUCAAAAAUGUGACUGUCCUAUUUUGGAAAACAAGCUGACAAACAUUUACUAAAUUAAUACAAUUUUUAAGUGGCAAUUUUACUUGAAGGGAUUUGCUACAAAAAUUCUUCAAACACAAGACUGUCCAACUAGGCACUUUUCUUUAAGAAUCAGAAACUGAAAAUAAACCAACUGCUGUGAUUAAAUCAACAAUUAAUUACGGUACAUCCAAAACAGCCUUUAAAAAGGUUUCUAAUACCUUUUCAUGUUCUGUUCUCUAGAGCUCUUGAUUUCUUUUCUAAGUUAAAAGAGACAAAUUACAGGACAAUAUCUGGAGUAUGGUAGCCCAUUAUUUUCUUAGCAAAACAAAAUUCAACUGUUAAUUCUGAAGGUUUGAUUAUAAAGAAUUUUCAUUUUCUGAGUUAAACAUUUGUUUUUUGCAAUUAUUUAGAAUGAGCAUAUUAUCCUCGCAGUCAGGGGAUAAUAUCUAUCUAUGCUUCAUAAAAUCUUUUAAAAAUGAUAGAAUUGAACUAAAAUUGUGAAUUUAUUGAAUUUAAUCAAGAAGCUCUCCUCACGGGAAAUUUUGAGUAGUUAAGAUCUUUUUUUAUAAAGCAGUUCCUUGUAUUAACACUGACAUCUAGGGGAUCUAUCUCCAAAUUCAUCUAAGUAGCAACAAAGUCUACCAAAACCUUCCAUUUCUUGUUGAAAAUUCUGGUUCAGCAAUAACUAUAUACUAUUCCAAAAUGGGAUGUUAAUAUUUAUAAGAG
This 2680-nucleotide long non-coding RNA is filed under the name Dasypus novemcinctus (nine-banded armadillo). Its description in RNAcentral is "lncRNA (ENSDNOG00000050432.1)". The record is from RNAcentral. Lineage: Eukaryota; Metazoa; Chordata; Mammalia; Cingulata; Dasypodidae.